Molecule: ribosomal RNA, 500 nt
Filed under: uncultured bacterium
Lineage: Bacteria
Description: partial 16S ribosomal RNA
Rfam family: Bacterial small subunit ribosomal RNA
Source: RNAcentral
ACUCAAAUGAAUUGACGGGGGCCCGCACAAGCGGUGGAGCAUGUGGUUCAAUUCGAAGCAACGCGAAGAACCUUACCUGGGUUCGAAAUGCAGGUGUAAACCUCAGAGAUGAGGUCCCCUCUUCGGAGGCACCUGUAUAGGUGCUGCAUGGCUGUCGUCAGCUCGUGUCGUGAGAUGUUGGGUUAAGUCCCGCAACGAGCGCAACCCUUGUCCAUAGUUGCUAACGCGUAGUGGCGAGAACUCUAUGGAGACUGCCGGUGAUAAACCGGAGGAAGGUGGGGAUGACGUCAAGUCCUCAUGGCCUUUAUGUCCAGGGCUACACACGUGCUACAAUGGACGGUACAAAGAGUCGCGAUCCCGCAAGGGGGAGCUAAUCUCAAAAAGCCGUUCUCAGUUCGGAUUGUUCUCUGCAACUCGAGAGCAUGAAGCUGGAAUCGCUAGUAAUCGCGGAUCAGCACGCCGCGGUGAAUACGUUCCCGGGCCUUGUACACACCGCCCGU